AUGUGGAGUUUUCUGGGCCAGGGAUUGAACCCUCUCCACAGCAGUGACCUGAGCCACAACAGUGACAAUGCCGGAUCCUUAACCCACGAGGCCACCAGGGAACUCCUAAUUACUAUUAUUUUUGAUGAUAAUGAAUUGAUCAAGCUUCCCACAGCUCCCCAGCCCCUCAGGAUAUGGUCAUGCUUCCUUCGGUGGCUCCCAGGACCCCCUUCUCAGUUCCUGAGGACAAGCUUCCUCUUUGCCUCUCAGGUCUUCUCAUUGCAGCUCCAUUGCAUCUUUCAGAUCCUUUCCGAUGCCAUGUUCUCUAGGCCUUUGAAUGUGCUGUUCCCGUUACAUGGAACAUUUUUCUCUGCCUAAAACACAGCUAAUCCCUCUCCCAAUGCCAAGGUCCCUGGCCGAUCUACUCACCUUCUAGGUCUUGCCUUGGAAUCAUUGUGUUUGUGCAAGUCUCCCUUCAUCAGCCCCAUAGUCUUGCACACUCAUAGCCCUCAAUCAUUCAUUCAUUUCAUGGACAUUGUGUCACCUAUGUGCCAGGCACUGUUCUGGGUUUAUCUGCUCCACUGAAUUGUCACUGCCUGGUUCAUACUUAUAUGUGUUAUUGCACUGUAAUUCACAUACCAUAAAAUUCACCCUUUUCUGUGUGUAAUUCAGUGGUUUGUGUGUUUAUAUGUAUAUUUACAAGUUUGUACAGCCAACACCAUCAUCUAAUUCCAGUACAUUUUUCAUCACUCCAAAAAGAAACCCAUUAGCGAUCAUUCUCCCUUCUCCCCUCCUCCCAGGCUUUCUUUCUGUCUGAAUGGAUUUGCCUAUUCUGGACAAUUCUUAUAAGUGGAAUCAGACCAUAUAUGGUCUUUUGUGAUUGGCUUCUUUUACUGAGUGUUUUCAAGGUUCAUUCACGUUGCAGCAUAUAUCAGCACUUUAUUCUAUUUGUGGCUGAAUAAUAGUCCUUUGUAUGGAUGUACCACGUUUACUUUAUCCAUUCAUCAGUUGACUAACCUUUAGGUUAGUGUUUCUUCUAAAGCCCUGUGAGAACAAGACUCCAUAUAUCUCAUGAUUGUAUCCCAGAACCUAGUGUAGUGUCUGGCACUUAUUAAAAAUUCAUAUUUUGGAGUUCCAUAGUGGCACAGUUGAAAUGAAUGCGACUAGGAAACACGAGGUUGCGGGUUCAAUGCCUGGCCUUGCUCAGUGGGUUAAGGAUCUGGCAUUGCCGUGAGCUAUGGUGUAGGUCGCAGACAUGGCUCGGAUCCUGUGUUGCUGUGGCUCUGGCACAGGCUGGUGGCUGUAGCUCUGAUUUGACUUCUAGCCUGGGAACCUCCAUAUGCUGCAGGGGCGCCCUAAAAAGACUGAAAAAAAAAAAAGAAAUUCAUGCUUUGUUCAACAUUAAAAAAAAUUUUUUUUUGGCCAUGCCCGUGGCAAGUGGAAGUUCCUGGGUCAGGGAUUGAACCCAUACCUUAGCAGUCUUCCAAGCUACUGCAGUGAUAUUGGUGAAUACUGAACCUGCUGUGCCACAAGGGAACUCCAGAAUUCAAUUUUUUUUUUUUGUCUUUUUUUUUUUUGCCGUUUCUGCAUAUGGAGGUUCCCAGGCUAGGGGUCAAAUCUCAGCCUACGCCAGAGCCACAGCAACACAGGAUCCGAGCUGCGGCUGCGACCUACACCACAGCCCACGGCAACGCCGGAUCCUUAACCCACUGAGCAAGGCCAGGGAUCGAACCUGCAACUUCAUGGUUCCUAGUCAAAUUCGUUAACCACUGCACCAUGAUGGGAACUCCAGAAUUCAAUAUUUUUUAAAAAGUGUUGAAUGAAUAAUAAAUCAAAAGCUAGUUAGUUACA
RNAcentral lists this long non-coding RNA (1830 nucleotides) under Sus scrofa (pig). RNAcentral describes it as "lncRNA (ENSSSCG00025007045.1)". The record is from RNAcentral. Lineage: Eukaryota; Metazoa; Chordata; Mammalia; Artiodactyla; Suidae.